Molecule: long non-coding RNA, 1367 nt
Organism: Manis pentadactyla (Chinese pangolin)
Lineage: Eukaryota; Metazoa; Chordata; Mammalia; Pholidota; Manidae
Exons: 4
Source: RefSeq, a predicted model, not a curated record
UCCAGUUAUAAUAAAACAAAGUGCUGCUCCAGUACCUGGGGCAGAAGAUGAUGGAAGGGCUUGGAAUGCUGGCAUCUUGAAACACGUGGAGAUUGGGAGAUGAGAGCUCACACCUGCCCCUCUCCCCGCCACAUUCCCAUCCAGCCACCCCAUCUCAGCUAGCCUAGCAAAGCCAAGAAACAUCUGCUUGGUCAGCUUUUCCCCAAAAGACACCUGAAGUGGAAGUACAUAAAUAAUGUAAUGACCCCACUGCUACUGGACAUUUCUACCAGACGUGCUUCGGGACAGUGUGUAAAGCAAGCCGGGAAGACGGCGCACACUCCCCGCGCCACAUCACCAGCGCCCUGCCUCGGUCCCCCCCGGCAGGGCCUGCUCUGCUGAGUCACUCUGGGGUUGGGGUUAGGCCGGGCAGAGGAGACAGCUGCAGGGACAGCCUCCCUCAGAGGAGGCGAGCCGAAAUGGAAACUUCUAGCUAAACAGAAUUGGUAGCUCGUCCAGCCCUCUGUUGUGUUGCCAAGGCCACCGCACGGAGCGGGGUGGGCCUGUUCUGAGGCCCUGGCAGGCUUCCCCAGGGCAGAUUUCACAGUAGUCUCUUCCUCGGCAGGAGAACUGCUUUUAUGUUAUAGGAGCAAAGAAUACCAACCUCUUGAGGCAGGUAUGCUUCACAAGACAGAAGAUGGGAGAUGGCUGCACUUCAGCAGGUUCAGGGACCCCUUCUGAAAGCUUGGCUGAAGAUUCACAUGUCGCUGAGCAGGGGAAGAAAUGUGCCUCCACCUGAAACUAAUCACGCAGCUGGGCCCAGAUGAGAAAACAUCUGCUGCAGAAAGAAAUAAGUAAGAGCCGUGAGGGAUCCUUGCAAGGCCAUGAGGUCCAGGGGGAAGAGAUGUUAGACUGGAGCAGGCUUGUCCCUCCUUCUCUCUCCAGCUCUUCUCCCCAGGGCUGCUCUGGCGGCAGAACCAGAUGGAAAUGUCACCAAAUGCAGAGUGUUUUAUUCAUCCUGGUCUGCACCCUACCUUAGACGGCACAAUUCCUUGGCAACACAAUGCAGACAGAGGAUUUUUUCAUUUUUAAUUGAAUCCUAAGAGGUAUAUUUGUUUCUAGAGGUGCCAGCUUAAAGUAAUUACUGGAAUUCCCAACAGGGCUAAUCAGAGAUUCAUAGAAAAUAAAGAUGGAGAAGAAGACCUAACCCCCCGGGUUUCUGUCAUUCUGCUCAGAAACUCUUUCCAUCCAUGGCCGCCAUCCCAGUUCUUGGCACUGUGGGCUAUUAAAAGGAGCCUUGACAUAAAUCCCUGCCCAGGGAGAUAAGAGAAAACUGAUUUCACUGCUUGGGUAUCUUUCCUCUGGUGACCAGACACCUUCUGUUUUCA